Molecule: ribosomal RNA, 253 nt
Filed under: uncultured bacterium
Lineage: Bacteria
Description: partial 16S ribosomal RNA
Rfam family: Bacterial small subunit ribosomal RNA
Source: RNAcentral
UACGGAGGGUGCAAGCGUUAUCCGGAUUUACUGGGCUUAAAGGGUGCGCAGGCGGAUAUGUAAGUCCGUGGUGAAAUCUCCGGGCUUAACCCGGAAACUGCCGUUGAUACUAUAUAUCUGGAAUGCUGUGGAGGUAAGCAGAAUAUGUCAUGUAGCGGUGAAAUGCUUAGAGAUGACAUAGAAUACCGAUUGCGAAGGCAGCUUACUACGCAGAGAUUGACGCUCAGGCACGAAAGCGUGGGGAGCAAACAGG